CUUUAUCGGCUAAAUUGACCAUCUUUCAUCCACUUUUGGACCACGUGGCAGGUAUAAAACUUGUUCCUCUUGUUGAGCACUAUCUUCUUGUAAAAUUUGGUAGAAUUUAGAGUUAUUUGAAAAGGUGGGUUUCCGGUCGCCGGAAACCGCAGUGUGCGGCGGCACAUGGAUCAAGACCUGACCUGCCCAUCCUAGGUUAAUUUGGAUGCCUGAUUCCAUAUUUGACACCUGAUUGACGAAAUUCCAUUGUUUUGAGUAUUAUUUCGUUAAAGUCCGUCACUCGAAUAUUAUAACGACGAUCCGACCGUUGGAUCGUCACUAAACUUUAAUACAUUAUGGUACAUAAUAUUUAAGGACCAUAGGAACUUAUGGAUCGGCAAUCUGACUUACAAAUCUUUUCGAAUUGGAUUUGUAAGUUCAUAAAAUAAAACGUUGACCGCCACUUGAAUUUGCAAUUGGCGAAGAUCCAACUAUUUGGAUCGUAAUGAAACUUUAGUAUAAUGUUCUAGAAGCAUAAUGUGUAUUUUUGGAAACUACGGAUCGGAAAUCCAAGGUACGGAUCUUUCGAAUUGAGUUACGUAGGGUUAUGGACCCUACAGCCGACCUUUAAUCGACAAUUGAUUUUUGGGUAAUGGGUUUCAAAUCAUUUUAGAAUGUCUUUGGGAAUGUGUUUUAUGUAAGUUACGUGUUCUAUCGAUAAGAAUUAUGAGAUGUGAUUUGAUAAUUGUUCUAGGCACCGAUUAUUUGUGACACUUCGAUAUUCGUGCUAGGGAGUUGUAGCGUGGACCUCAGAUGAAUGGGACUUUUCCUUUUUAUAGUGUGUAUAUAUAUAUGUGAUUGAUAGUUUCCACAAAUGCUUUUUAAUUGAUUUAUGCACUUCAUGCCAUGAUUAAAUUAUGUUAUGAGAAAUGUUGCACUGUUGUGAAGUACCAAGAUGAUCAUACGGGAUGUGUGAUGUGAAAUAUUCUAACACACAAAUUAAACCCUAUUAAGAUAGUUGUAGUAUAUGAAAGUAGGGAUCGUUCUAGGCCAAGGAUUAUGAUGCGAGAAUUACUUGACACACAAAUUAAACCCUCUUUAUGACAAUUGUAGUAUAGAUGUAAGUAGGGUAUCGUUCUAGGCCGGGGAUUAGGAGGGAUUGCUAAUCUAUUCUA
RNAcentral lists this long non-coding RNA (1154 nucleotides) under Malus domestica (apple). Its description in RNAcentral is "long non-coding RNA (MDOM_LNC018430)". The record is from RNAcentral. Lineage: Eukaryota; Viridiplantae; Streptophyta; Magnoliopsida; Rosales; Rosaceae.